This 253-nucleotide ribosomal RNA is filed under the name uncultured bacterium. Its description in RNAcentral is "partial 16S ribosomal RNA". It matches the Rfam family "Bacterial small subunit ribosomal RNA", at positions 524 to 776 of the family's 1533-position model. The record is from RNAcentral.
UACGUAGGGUGCAAGCGUUAAUCGGAAUUACUGGGCGUAAAGCGUGCGCAGGCGGCUUUGCAAGACAGAUGUGAAAUCCCCGGGCUUAACCUGGGAACUGCAUUUGUGACUGCAAGGCUAGAGUACGGCAGAGGGGGAUGGAAUUCCGCGUGUAGCAGUGAAAUGCGUAGAGAUCAGCAGGAACACCCGUGGCGAAGGCGGCCCCCUGGGCCGUACCUGACGCUGAGGCGCGAAGGCUAGGGGAGCGAACGGG